UAACGUACGAUCUCGUCUUUCUUACCAAACUAAUAUUAUUCGUGAUAUUUAAUUCUGCUGGUGGUUGGCUGUUCUGUCCUUCCUGUCGCGAUAGUUUCAGGAAAGCUUCUUCGAGAGAAGUGCAGUUGAACAUCGUGAGGAGAGCCCUGGGUGAUUCCUCAGCUAGCAAGCGACCGCUCCUCAUCAAUCCGAUCUUGUGUGCCUGUCGGGCCUCUUCGAUGUAGUGUGUGGUUAUGAUGAC
RNAcentral lists this unclassified non-coding RNA (241 nucleotides) under Bombus terrestris (buff-tailed bumblebee). Its description in RNAcentral is "misc RNA ENSBTSG00005026752.1". Lineage: Eukaryota; Metazoa; Arthropoda; Insecta; Hymenoptera; Apidae. The record is from RNAcentral.